GCUUGUCUCAAAGAUUAAGCCAUGCAUGUCUAAGUAUAAAAGUAUUCUAUACUUGAAACUGCGAAUAGCUCAUUAAAUCAGUUAUAGUUUAUUUGAUGGUGCCUUACUACAUGGAUACCCGUAGUAAUUCUAGAGCUAAUACAUGCCAAAAAAACCCAACCGCAAGGGCGGGUUGUAUUUAUUAGAUAAAAAACCAUUACUCGCAAGAGUUUUUAUUGAUGAAUCAUAAUAACUGUUCGAAUCGCACGGGGUAACCUGGCGAUAGUUCAUUCAAAUUUCUGCCCUAUCAGCUUUCGACGGUAGUGUAGUGGACUACCGUGGCGUUAACGGGUAACGGAGAAUUAGGGUUCGAUUCCGGAGAGGGAGCCUGAGAAACGGCUACCACAUCCAAGGAAGGCAGCAGG
Molecule: ribosomal RNA, 404 nt
Filed under: uncultured Paracercomonas
Lineage: Eukaryota; Cercozoa; Cercomonadida; Cercomonadidae
Description: partial small subunit ribosomal RNA
Rfam family: Eukaryotic small subunit ribosomal RNA
Source: RNAcentral